GCUGACAUCUGAUAGUGCUCACAUAAAGACAGCGGUGGGAGAUUUGAGGGGCUGAUGGGAGGUCUGAGGACCUGGUAGAAACCACGCCGCCCUCGUGCGAUCUCACAGCUCGUCCUCGUUCGGCCUCGGCUGCAUCGGAGCGCCACUUCUCCCCGGGUUCACCAGAGGAAACACCACUGCACAAAAUGCUUCUCCUCCCAGCUGCUGCUCUGUGCUGUCUGUGUUCAGCGCUGGUUGCCAUGGCAGCAGAGCUGAUUCAGGAUGAUUUAACAUUGACCAGGAGAGUUGGUGAAAAAGUCUCCUUCAGCUGUCGAGGAACUCAACAGUGUAGCAGUAAUAAUGUAUACUGGUACCAGAAGAAAGACACAGAAACAUUCAGAAGGAUUCUACGUUUUGACAGGAGUGAUGGUGAAGUUUAUUCAGGUUACAAUCACCCUCAGAAAGAUGAUUUCUCAGCUGUGAAUAAACAGGACGGCUGUGAGUUGGAGAUCAAGUCAGUUAAACUCCAUCAUUCAGCCUCCUACUACUGCAGCUGUU
This is a long non-coding RNA of Chelmon rostratus (copperband butterflyfish), 537 nucleotides long. RefSeq lists it as uncharacterized. The transcript has 3 exons. NCBI's taxonomy places the organism in Eukaryota, Metazoa, Chordata, Actinopteri, Chaetodontiformes, Chaetodontidae. The record is from RefSeq and is a predicted model, not a curated record.